Molecule: ribosomal RNA, 465 nt
Filed under: uncultured bacterium
Lineage: Bacteria
Description: partial 16S ribosomal RNA
Rfam family: Bacterial small subunit ribosomal RNA
Source: RNAcentral
GACGAACGCUGGCGGCGUGCUUAACACAUGCAAGUCGAACGGAAAGGCCCUGCUUGCCGGGUACUCGAGUGGCGAACGGGUGAGUAACACGUGGGUGAUCUGCCCUGCACUUCGGGAUAAGCCUGGUAAACUGGGUCUAAUACCGGAUAGGAGCCAUUUUUAGUGUGAUGGUUGGAAAGUUUUUUCGGUGUAGGAUGAGCUCGCGGCCUAUCAGCUUGUUGGUGGGGUAAUGGCCUACCAAGGCGGCGACGGGUAGCCGGCCUGAGAGGGUGGACGGCCACCUUGGGACUGAGAGACGGCCCAGACUCCUACGGGAGGCAGCAGUGGGGAAUAUUGACCAAGGGGCGCCAGCCUGAUGCAGCGACGCCGCGUGGGGGAUGACGGCCUUAGGGUUGAAAACUCAUUUCGCUAGGGACGAAGCUUUUUGUGACGGUACCUAGAUAAGAAGCACCGGCUAACUACGUG